GUAACCACCUAAACUGUACAAGGCCCUCAUUUCAAGUUGUGCUUUUGCUGCUGGUUCCAUCAGUUUUUAGAUAGUGUUACUAUUUUUAAUUUGUUUAAGGUGCAUGGCAGAUGAGCAGGGGGCUGUAAAAGCUAAUUUCUGAGUCAGCAGGGCUAACUUGUCCUAACUCGGUCUUGAUGUUUUUCUUUCUGCCUGACAGUUAAAGGAGCGCUAACUACAAUUAUGGAUUAGCUGGAUGAUCUCACAGUAUCUGUCUUGAAUGCUGCCAACAUAGACGAGGCCUUGCUCCACAUCCUCAGUCGUGACGACUUGGGAGACCUUCUUCCAGGACCAGAAAACAUUAUUAGGAGGAAACAAGUAUGGGCUCUUAUUAGCCUCGAGAAUGAGAAUCCUACCCUACCAGCUAAAAGGUGGCGAAACGGGAACUGUGUAUUCCCCUAGAGGGGCGUCACCAAUUAGUCCCCACACAUCAACUACUUUGGUGAAGAAAAGCCCAAAGAAGACCCUACAACUUCCCAGUCCACCAGAAUAUGUGGUCUACACAGAAAGCUCACUGGUUGUCUACACAUGCCAUGCUCUGCCUGCAUGGUUUCAUUUCUGAAAUUAGUCACCCCCCUGUCCGCAUUGUGUCUGAAUUUGCUGGAGGCAAAUUUGUCUUCAAAGUACCUGCAAAGAAACCAGCAUCUUCAAAUAGUGUGCGAGGUGAGAUAUUUUUUGUGGAUCUCCACUCACUUAUC
Molecule: long non-coding RNA, 737 nt
Filed under: Sparus aurata (gilthead seabream)
Lineage: Eukaryota; Metazoa; Chordata; Actinopteri; Spariformes; Sparidae
Description: lncRNA (ENSSAUG00010004020.1)
Source: RNAcentral